AACGAACGCUGGCGGCAUGCCUAAUACAUGCAAGUCGAACGAGAUCUUCGGAUCUAGUGGCGCACGGGUGCGUAACACGUGGGAAUCUGCCCUUGGGUUCGGAAUAACUUCUGGAAACGGAAGCUAAUACCGGAUGAUGACGUAAGUCCAAAGAUUUAUCGCCCAAGGAUGAGCCCGCGUAGGAUUAGGUAGUUGGUGAGGUAAAGGCUCACCAAGCCGACGAUCCUUAGCUGGUCUGAGAGGAUGAUCAGCCACACUGGGACUGAGACACGGCCCAGACUCCUACGGGAGGCAGCAGUAGGGAAUAUUGGACAAUGGGCGAAAGCCUGAUCCAGCAAUGCCGCGUGAGUGAUGAAGGCCUUAGGGUUGUAAAGCUCUUUUACCCGGGAUGAUAAUGACAGUACCGGGAGAAUAAGCUCCGGCUAACUCCGUG
RNAcentral lists this ribosomal RNA (433 nucleotides) under uncultured bacterium. RNAcentral's name for it is "partial 16S ribosomal RNA". It matches the Rfam family "Bacterial small subunit ribosomal RNA", at positions 29 to 507 of the family's 1533-position model. The record is from RNAcentral.